This 296-nucleotide RNase P RNA is filed under the name Flavobacteriaceae bacterium. RNAcentral's name for it is "RNase P RNA component class A". It matches the Rfam family "Bacterial RNase P class A". From Rfam's summary of the family: Ribonuclease P (RNase P) is a ubiquitous endoribonuclease, found in archaea, bacteria and eukarya as well as chloroplasts and mitochondria. Its best characterised activity is the generation of mature 5'-ends of tRNAs by cleaving the 5'-leader elements of precursor-tRNAs. The record is from RNAcentral. Lineage: Bacteria; Pseudomonadati; Bacteroidota; Flavobacteriia; Flavobacteriales; Flavobacteriaceae.
GUUGUGAAUCGUCUUGUCGCUAUUUAUAGAGGAAAGUCCGAACACCAAAGUACAUCACAAUGGUUAAUUGCCAUCAAUCGUGAGAUUAGGAAUAGUGCAACAGAAAGUAUGUACAGGUUAUGCUGUAGUGAAAUCAUGUAAACUCUGUGAGGUGCAAUGUCAUGUAUACCAGCACUUGAGAAUUGUACGUUCGAUGUUGGAGGGUAGACAGCUAGAAUAUACUGGCAACAGUAUAUCAAGAUAAAUGACAAGAACUAUUAUUAGUACAGAAUUCGGCUUACAGAUUCACAAAAAAG